UUUAUGGAGAGUUUGAUCCUGGCUCAGGAUGAACGCUGGCGGCGUGCCUAAUACAUGCAAGUCGAGCGAACAGACGAGGAGCUUGCUCCUCUGACGUUAGCGGCGGACGGGUGAGUAACACGUGGAUAACCUACCUAUAAGACUGGGAUAACUUCGGGAAACCGGAGCUAA
RNAcentral lists this ribosomal RNA (171 nucleotides) under Staphylococcus saccharolyticus. RNAcentral's name for it is "partial 16S ribosomal RNA". It matches the Rfam family "Bacterial small subunit ribosomal RNA", at positions 1 to 166 of the family's 1533-position model. Lineage: Bacteria; Bacillati; Bacillota; Bacilli; Caryophanales; Staphylococcaceae. The record is from RNAcentral.